AAGGUAAGCUAGAUGAUCGCGGGCGGCUGAAAGGCCGCUUGAGGAAAGUCCGGGCUCCAUAGGACAUGACGCCGGGUAACACCCGGGAGCGGUAACGCUAUAGAGAGCACCACAGAAAAUAUACCGCCGGCUAGCCGG
Molecule: RNase P RNA, 138 nt
Filed under: Spirochaetia bacterium
Lineage: Bacteria; Pseudomonadati; Spirochaetota; Spirochaetia
Description: partial RNase P RNA component class A
Rfam family: Bacterial RNase P class A
About the family: Ribonuclease P (RNase P) is a ubiquitous endoribonuclease, found in archaea, bacteria and eukarya as well as chloroplasts and mitochondria.
Source: RNAcentral